GGAAGUAAAAGUUGUAACAAGGUUUCCGUAGGUGAACCUGCGGAAGGAUCAUUAUUGUAUAACCGAGAUGCGAGGGCUGUCGCUGACCCGAAAGGUCGUGCACGCCCGAGUGCCCUCACACACAUCCAUCUCACCCCUAUGUGCACCACCGCGUGGGUCCCCCUUUGGCUUGUUCGGAGGGGGGCUUACGUUUUCACACAAACUUUGUAUGCAGUGUAGAAUGUAUUUUUUGUUUUUGCGAUCACGCAAUCAAUACAACUUUCAACGACGGAUCUCUUGGCUCUC
RNAcentral lists this unclassified non-coding RNA (285 nucleotides) under plant metagenome. RNAcentral describes it as "partial contains small subunit ribosomal RNA and internal transcribed spacer 1". The stretch from base 1 to 54 matches the Rfam family "Eukaryotic small subunit ribosomal RNA", at positions 1778 to 1831 of the family's 1831-position model. The record is from RNAcentral.